RNAcentral lists this non-coding RNA (30 nucleotides) under Mus musculus (house mouse). The record is from RNAcentral. Lineage: Eukaryota; Metazoa; Chordata; Mammalia; Rodentia; Muridae.
UACAGAUCAGUACAUUUUAGUGUAUCUACA